AGCGAACGCUGGCGGUAGGCCUAACACAUGCAAGUCGAACGGCAGCACAGUAAGAGCUUGCUCUUACGGGUGGCGAGUGGCGGACGGGUGAGGAAUACAUCGGAAUCUACUUUUUCGUGGGGGAUAACGUAGGGAAACUUACGCUAAUACAGCAUACGACCUACGGGUGAAAGCAGGGGAUCUUCAGACCUUGCGCGAUUGAAUGAGCCGAUGUGGGAUUAGCUAGUUGGCGGGGUAAAGGCCUACGACGGCGACGAUCCGUAGCUGGUCUGAGAGGAUGAGCACCGACACCUGGAGGGAGACACGGUCGGGAAUCUUGGGCGAGGGAGCAGAGGCGGAUCCAGGCCUACCGGCGAAGGGAUGAAGGACCUCUGGUUGGAGAGUGCUGUUGUUCGGAAAGAAAAACAGCAGGUUUAUACCCCGCUGUUCUGACGGUACCCAAAGAAUAAGCACCGGCUAACUUCGUG
Molecule: ribosomal RNA, 467 nt
Filed under: uncultured bacterium
Lineage: Bacteria
Description: partial 16S ribosomal RNA
Rfam family: Bacterial small subunit ribosomal RNA
Source: RNAcentral